UACGGAGGGUGCAAACGUUGCUCGGAAUCAUUGGGCGUAAAGCGCACGUAGGCGGCCUGUUAAGUCGGGUGUGAAAGCCCUCGGCUUAACCGAGGAAGUGCGCCCGAAACUGCAGAGCUUGAGUGCCGGAGAGGAUAGCGGAACACCCGGUGUAGAGGUGAAAUUCGUAGAUAUCGGGUAGAACACCAGUGGCGAAGGCGGCUAUCUGGACGGACACUGACGCUGAGACGCGAAAGCGUGGGGAGCAAACAGG
This 253-nucleotide ribosomal RNA is filed under the name uncultured bacterium. Its description in RNAcentral is "partial 16S ribosomal RNA". It matches the Rfam family "Bacterial small subunit ribosomal RNA", at positions 524 to 776 of the family's 1533-position model. The record is from RNAcentral.